Molecule: long non-coding RNA, 4441 nt
Filed under: Mustela putorius furo (domestic ferret)
Lineage: Eukaryota; Metazoa; Chordata; Mammalia; Carnivora; Mustelidae
Description: lncRNA (ENSMPUG00000024986.1)
Source: RNAcentral
CCCCUCCUCCCUCCCCUCCCCUUCCCCCUCCUUCCGCCUCUGCUGUUCAAGCUCUGGAUUACGAGAAUGACCCAGCAGAGGUGUGUGAGUCUUUCUCAGAAAAAAUAAAUCAGUAAGAAAAAUAACCAAAUUCCUUCCUCCCCCGCACAAUGGGAGUCAUACUGAAGGUUUCCUGCCCCCGUGUGAAGCCAGAGCCGCUCAACGUCCCUCCUCCCCCCACUCCUGCAUCUGCCGGAGGGGACUUUGCCACAAGAGGGCAAGAGAGGCCUUUGACAGCAGGGAUGGAGGCCCUGGGCGGAGAGAAGGGGCUGGGGAAGGGCCGACCUGGAGCACACAGGGCCAGGCCCCCAAGAGCAGGGAGCUGCUCCCACCCAAGGUCCCCCCAAGGCUGAGCCGCAGGAGCCACCCCUGAGGGGGAGAAGGAGAGGGAAGCCCUUUGACCUGGGGUCCAGCAGGUGUGCUGUGCGAGUCCCGGGGUCUCGGGAGAUCCCAGCCCUGAGGUGGCCGGGCAGGCAGGUAGUUCUCAAGAAGAACCUAGAGAUUCUUCUGGAAGCUGGAGCUCCAGGAGGAGGUCCUGCUAGAGCCAGGGAAGGAGUGGGGGGAAAGGGCAGCUUUAGGGCCACCUGGCCCCACCUUGGGUCUGCAGAAACAACCCCGGGGUGGGCAGGGAGGGGGUAACUCACUGCGGCCGAGACCCCUCCGAGUCCUUCACCUGGAGAGGUUGGCGGCAGACGCGGUGGGGCUGGGCAGACAGUUGGUGGAAGUGGGUGUGGGUGUGGACGGGGCCGAGAAGCACGCUGAGGCGGGGGCGCACACACCCCCCGGUUCACACUGUUUUCACACCAGGGAUGCCCUGCUUUUCAGUGUUCAGAGUGAGUUACCGGGACCCGUGAGCAAGACGUUUCUGGACGGUGUGGAGCUCCCUAUGUCCUUGCCUGUCACAGUGUCCCGCCGCAGAGUCCUGCUUCUGUCCCCAGAAAUGCAUAGCAGAGCUGACUGCCAGAUGCCCUGGGUCCCUCCUUUGUGGCUCAGGGUACUCCAGCGCCUCGCGUGUGCCUUCCGGGGUGAGCUUCCUGCUGGGGCUGAGCCGGGGAGCCGCCGGAUCCCGGAGACUGUGGGAAGAGCCGUGAGUGUGCGCGGGGGCGGGGAGGGGAUCAGGCCACGGGUGGGGGCCAGGACUGUGGGAAUGGCCCACAGCCUUUCUGGAAUCGAAACACUAGCAAAUGUCAAAACGUGCGUAAUUUGUUUUACAGAAACAGGCUGCUUAUUUGUGUCUGGAAGGCCUGUGUCAAGGAUGCGUCUUGGCCCUUCUCAGAGGAUCGCGUCAGCGGAAACACACACAGAUGGUGGGGGUCUGGGGGCUCGGGACGAAGGGCAGGACAGGAAUUCGUGCGGGCUGCAGGGAGACGCCACCCACGGAGCCCCAGGGGGACGACUCCACGUGACCCUUGCUCUCUCGGUUUGGGGCCCUGGAUCCCGCCACGGUUGUGAAUUCUUCCAGACCUGCCCAGGCGAACUUGGGGGCUGCGGUCAGAUCCCGCCCCUGAGAACCUGGGAGAGAGGCUGGGUGUCCUUUACCCCGUGCUCGGGCGGCCUAGUGCACUGUAGCUGGGGGGCCCGCCGCCCCAGCACCCAGGUGGCCACAGGCUCGGGCUCGUCCCCGCUGCUGGGCCCGUCACUGCUCUUGCGGGCCUCCCCCCGCCCAGAGGCUGCGGCUGAGGCUGUCCUCUGCCACCCUGUGACCACCCGUAAGCUCCGGCUCCUCCCCUCCCGUGGGCUUCCCUUCUCCGCCGGGGACGUCUCCGCUCCCCAACCUCUUCUCGGCCCCUUUCAGAACGUCCAGGCUCCUUUUGCUCAACAAGGUGGUGACAGACACACCACCAGCGUGGGGUGGGCCGCGCAUCCCCGGGCUCGGUGGAAGGCAGAGCAGGCGAGUGGACAGAGCCCGCUGGGCUGGGAGGUUGUCCUUAUCAGAGGCACAGCGAGGGACGCAGCGUCUUGACCGGGCAGGGACCCCGUCCUUGCCGGCAUGAAACGCUGCCAUCGUCAUCUGUCAAACACUCUCUCUGUCUCUGGCCUUUGCGUCCUGACCCGCGGACCUACCUGUCAGUGUCGGCCAGGGACACAGUUCACUCCCCAGGACGGCGCUGUAGCCAGGCCCCUCCGCGCAUCCCUUCAAACACGCCUGCCGGUCGGUCUUGCACAUUGUCUCUUCCCCGCGACGUCAGAAGCAGUGACGUCACCUGUCCCACAGGCAUCUUCUGGGACUGCGCUGGGAGCCUGGGCACAGUCGGGAACACUGCCACUGACGUGACACGGAGUUGCUCAGGAAUGGGUCUCUCGACUUAUUUAGAACUCUGGGGGAAGUUUUCUGGUUUUCUUCUCUGUCGGGUCUUCUCCUCCUGGGCUCAUUCCUGGGCUUUAUUGCCAGCGCAGAUGACGUGCUUUCUCCCAUAAAUGCUACAUAUUGUUUUACUAAAUUGUAUUAUUAUUCUAUACUGACCUUAAAAGUGGCCACUUGUAAAUCUUGCUGUUUGCCAUUGACUUGCCAGUUGGGUUUUCCUAGUCAAGCAGCCCCAGGAGUGUGUGGUUAAGUGUAGCUUAUCUCUGCCUUCCGUGUUCGUGAUCACGUGUAUUUCCUUGUGUUACUGCGCUUGUGCGGAGUCAGAUGUAAAAUCGGGCGUCUUCCUGUUGCUUUCCUUGUUAAGGUUGCGUUUAUGUGUUUAGCUCAGUGAUCGGAAGCGGAGAGCGUGCACGAGCGAGGGAGGAGAGGGAGAAGGACCGGCAGGCUCCCCUCCAGGAACGGAGCUGGACGUGGGGCUCGAUCCCGUGACCCUGAGGUCACAACCUGAGCGGAAAUCAGCAGUCGAGGCUCCACCGGCACAGCCCCCAGGCGCCCGUCUCUUGUUCCCGACGGUAACGUGAAGGGUUCUGAUGCGGGGUCUGCAAACUCUGGCCCGGGGGUCAGAUCCAGCCCAUGUGGCCCCUUUUCCUAAAUAAAGUUCUACCGGCACGCGGCCGCUCCCGUCAUCAAAUACAGCGUAAUGGCUGCGUUCUUGCGUCACGGUGGCCUCGAGUGGGUGGGAAUAGGCCAGCUGGCUUGAGAACCCUGAAAGCUUUGCCCUGACCUUUCACGCAAGUUUGCUGACCCGCAGUCUCGCAUCAGCUCAACGUGGCUCAGGGCUGGGGACUUUCCCCACUUCUGUUUGGUCCCUAAAGGUCUCAUGGCUGCGUGUGUCGAAAUUCAGGAUUCGAUACCCAGUUUUCCCACACGCUUUCUGGGGAACCGACUGUCUGUUGAGAUGGCGAGAGCUUUGCCUCUUUAAUCUCUUACCGUGACGCGUCGUAGGGACGGAUUUUGUGACAUUCCCGGGAUGGACGGCACUUGCUCCUGCUGGCUUCCGUGCUGUUCGUCGCUGCUUUUAUUAGGGUUCGUGCCCUACUGCAAGUCGUGCGUCCCUAAUACGGAUAACGUGUGUCCUAGCAGCGUGCCCGUGUGUGGGAGUGUGAGUGUGUGUGUGAGUGUGAGUGUGAUCCCACCACUGGUUUUCCACUAACUGUACGGACUGAACUGUGAUGCUCCGUCUUCUGGGCUUGGGAGCGAGUAACUCUUGGUAACAACUGAAACGUGUCCAGCAAACAGUUGUGUCCAUUUCCUGUGAAUCACGUCUCUCAUCUACAAGCACAGCCUGUGCAUUAGCUACUGUUUCCACGUUUGCAGGACGGAUGAGGAAACUGAGGCUGCCGGCGUGUGCGUGGCCCGCCUGAGGCCACACGCCGCUGGAGAGGAGUGAAGACGGACAACCCCCCGCCGCGGUCCCGCGGUCCCACGUGCACGGAUUCCUCAGAGAUCGUGGAUUCGUGUGAAGCUGCCGGCGCCUGGAGCCUCUUUAAGGUUAAAGUUUUGACUGUUUUUUCCUGCUCCCAGGCCAUUGGACUAAUUAGAUUUCCUGUUUCUACCCGAGUUGCUUUGUACUUGAAAAAUGUAUUUCCUGAGAAAAUCGUCCAUGGAAUCUAGCUUUUGAAAUGUAUUGCUAGGACCUGGAACACGAUCGUUUCCCGAGAUCCCCCUUCUCUUUCCUCCUCUCUCCCUUUGUUCUGGGGUUAGCGUGGGCCGCCGGUGUGGCCUCUGUCCCAGGGCAGCGGGGCGGCCGCGGCCGUGUGCUCUGUGGGACAUCAGCCGUCUUGCUUUGUGGCAGGGAUUUGCCCAGAACUUGUUUCCAUGCAGGCGAUGGAGAACGUGUCGGACGGCCUGGACUAUCACGGGCACAGACGACACAGAUGCGUUUUCGAGAUUAACCCGUGCACAGCGCCCUGACGUCCCCUUCUCUCGAGUCUCGUUAAUGGAUAGAUCGGGCUGGGGAGGGGAUUGUCAGCGGAGGCACAUCACAAAGUUACAUCCCAACACCCGCUCCAAAUCUGGGAACGCGGAGUUCGGUGG